Molecule: ribosomal RNA, 434 nt
Filed under: Orbulina sp. 'isolate V33'
Lineage: Eukaryota; Foraminifera; Rotaliida; Globigerinidae
Description: SSU rRNA
Rfam family: Eukaryotic small subunit ribosomal RNA
Source: RNAcentral
UUGAUCGCAAGUGAGAGUUGGGUGGGCAAACUCAGGGGACAGCUUCAACUAUUCUUCUUCAAACUAGAGGAAGGUUGCGGCAAUAACAGGUCUGUGAUGCCCUCAGAUGUUCUAGGCUGCACACGUGCUACAUUGAUCAGCACGAUGCGAUACAUUUCGAAAGGAAACAUCGGUUUUAAGGUAACGUCGAUUGCCUACCGAUAGCACCUGGUCCCCAGUGGACUGGGCAAUCUCUUCUAAAUGCUGGUAAGGUACCCACACUCGAGCUAUUUAAUCACACGCGGGAGGCACACACGGUUCAAAUCUCAUUUGCGACUGUUGCCGCCAUGACGUAUGCAACUUGUCAAUUCUUCGUGGGGAUCGUCGAUUGCAACUAUUCGACUCGCCACAACUAGGAAUGCCUCGUACGGGUCUCGGUUCACCAUACCGCCCGG